RNAcentral lists this unclassified non-coding RNA (358 nucleotides) under soil metagenome. RNAcentral describes it as "partial contains 5.8S ribosomal RNA, internal transcribed spacer 2, and large subunit ribosomal RNA". The stretch from base 1 to 120 matches the Rfam family "5.8S ribosomal RNA", at positions 35 to 154 of the family's 154-position model. The record is from RNAcentral.
GAUGAAGAACGCAGCGAAAUGCGAUAAAUAAUGUGAAUUGCAGAAUUCAGUGAAUCAUCGAAUCUUUGAACGCACAUUGCGCCCGUCAGUAUUCUGGCGGGCAUGCCUGUUCGAGCGUCAUUACGCCCCUCAAGUCCCCUGUGGACUUGGUGUUGGGGAUCGGCGAGGCUGGUUUUCCAGCACAGCCGUCCCUUAAAUUAAUUGGCGGUCUCGCCGUGGCCCUCCUCUGCGCAGUAGUAAAACACUCGCAACAGGAGCCCGGCGCGGUCCACUGCCGUAAAACCCCCCAACUUUUUAUAGUUGACCUCGAAUCAGGUAGGACUACCCGCUGAACUUAAGCAUAUCAAUAAGCGGAGGA